UAGCUCAGUUGGUAGAGCAGUUGACUUUUAAUCAAUUGGUCGCAGGUUCGAAUCCUGCACGACCCACCAAUCUCUGGUGGAUUGCAAGAGUGUGAACGUGAAGGAUAACGUUGCGAAAGCAACGGCACGAAGGGCGAGGCGAAGCCGAGUCAUCCUGCACUACCCACCA
Molecule: small RNA, 169 nt
Filed under: Pseudomonas tritici
Lineage: Bacteria; Pseudomonadati; Pseudomonadota; Gammaproteobacteria; Pseudomonadales; Pseudomonadaceae
Description: Pseudomonas sp. SWRI145 RtT sRNA
Rfam family: tRNA (bases 1-66)
Source: RNAcentral